AACAAACAAACAAAAAGAGUGAAACUCUGGGGACUUCCUGUUAGAAGACAGGGGUCAUUAAGUCCACGGUGGACAAGGUCCCAGCAGAAGAAGAUGGGACCUCACCAGGGUGUCUUCCUUCUCAUUUGCUCUGAGUAAAUAAUAAUUUCUUCAGUUCGGAUGCGGCUUCAAAUGUUCUGACGGAGGUUCCUACAGCAGACGCAGCGCUGAACGAACACAGAAACGUUCAUCUAACUCUGAGUAAUCUUCUUGGUGAGUCGUACCUGCUGGGGUCCGUCCCGGGAGCCCUGACGUCUGGACGGCUGACGUUGCUGAAGUCGUCCGAGCUGCUGAAGUUUCUCUCGCUGCAGGAC
Molecule: non-coding RNA, 353 nt
Organism: Nothobranchius furzeri (turquoise killifish)
Lineage: Eukaryota; Metazoa; Chordata; Actinopteri; Cyprinodontiformes; Nothobranchiidae
Source: RefSeq, a predicted model, not a curated record